RNAcentral lists this ribosomal RNA (1446 nucleotides) under uncultured organism. Its description in RNAcentral is "SSU rRNA". It matches the Rfam family "Bacterial small subunit ribosomal RNA". The record is from RNAcentral.
GAACGCUAGCUACAGGCUUAACACAUGCAAGUCGAGGGGCAGCAUGGUCUUAGCUUGCUAAGGCCGAUGGCGACCGGCGCACGGGUGAGUAACACGUAUCCAACCUGCCGUCUACUCUUGGACAGCCUUCUGAAAGGAAGAUUAAUACAAGAUGGCAUCAUGAGUCCGCAUGUUCACAUGAUUAAAGGUAUUCCGGUAGACGAUGGGGAUGCGUUCCAUUAGAUAGUAGGCGGGGUAACGGCCCACCUAGUCUUCGAUGGAUAGGGGUUCUGAGAGGAAGGUCCCCCACAUUGGAACUGAGACACGGUCCAAACUCCUACGGGAGGCAGCAGUGAGGAAUAUUGGUCAAUGGGCGAGAGCCUGAACCAGCCAAGUAGCGUGAAGGAUGACUGCCCUAUGGGUUGUAAACUUCUUUUAUAAAGGAAUAAAGUCGGGUAUGGAUACCCGUUUGCAUGUACUUUAUGAAUAAGGAUCGGCUAACUCCGUGCCAGCAGCCGCGGUAAUACGGAGGAUCCGAGCGUUAUCCGGAUUUAUUGGGUUUAAAGGGAGCGUAGAUGGAUGUUUAAGUCAGUUGUGAAAGUUUGCGGCUCAACCGUAAAAUUGCAGUUGAUACUGGAUAUCUUGAGUGCAGUUGAGGCAGGCGGAAUUCGUGGUGUAGCGGUGAAAUGCUUAGAUAUCACGAAGAACUCCGAUUGCGAAGGCAGCCUGCUAAGCUGCAACUGACAUUGAGGCUCGAAAGUGUGGGUAUCAAACAGGAUUAGAUACCCUGGUAGUCCACACGGUAAACGAUGAAUACUCGCUGUUUGCGAUAUACUGCAAGCGGCCAAGCGAAAGCGUUAAGUAUUCCACCUGGGGAGUACGCCGGCAACGGUGAAACUCAAAGGAAUUGACGGGGGCCCGCACAAGCGGAGGAACAUGUGGUUUAAUUCGAUGAUACGCGAGGAACCUUACCCGGGCUUAAAUUGCAGAUGAAUUACGGUGAAAGCCGUAAGCCGCAAGGCAUCUGUGAAGGUGCUGCAUAGUUGUCGUCAGCUCGUGCCGUGAGGUGUCGGCUUAAGUGCCAUAACGAGCGCAACCCUUGUUGUCAGUUACUAACAGGUUCCGCUGAGGACUCUGACAAGACUGCCAUCGUAAGAUGUGAGGAAGGUGGGGAUGACGUCAAAUCAGCACGGCCCUUACGUCCGGGGCUACACACGUGUUACAAUGGGGGGUACAGAGGGCCGCUACCACGCGAGUGGAUGCCAAUCCCCAAAACCUCUCUCAGUUCGGACUGGAGUCUGCAACCCGACUCCACGAAGCUGGAUUCGCUAGUAAUCGCGCAUCAGCCACGGCGCGGUGAAUACGUUCCCGGGCCUUGUACACACCGCCCGUCAAGCCAUGGGAGCCGGGGGUACCUGAAGUGCGUAACCGCGAGGAGCGCCCUAGGGUAAAACUGGUGACUGGGGC